UUGUUAAUGACCGAGUAAGGUAAUAGACUGUAGAUCUAUCAACGGACCACUACAUCCUUAACAAA
RNAcentral lists this transfer RNA (65 nucleotides) under Viviparus chui. RNAcentral describes it as "tRNA-Tyr". Lineage: Eukaryota; Metazoa; Mollusca; Gastropoda; Architaenioglossa; Viviparidae. The record is from RNAcentral.